Molecule: ribosomal RNA, 432 nt
Filed under: uncultured Bacillota bacterium
Lineage: Bacteria; Bacillati; Bacillota
Description: bacterial SSU rRNA
Rfam family: Bacterial small subunit ribosomal RNA
Source: RNAcentral
GGGCCCGCACAAGCAGUGGAUUAUGUGGAUUAAUUCGAUGCAACGCGAAGAACCUUACCAGGUCUUGACAUCAAGUGACCGGCUAAGAGAUUAGCCUUCCCUUCGGGGCACGAAGACAGGUGGUGCAUGGUUGUCGUCAGCUCGUGUCGUGAGAUGUUGGGUUAAGUCCCGCAACGAGCGCAACCCCUGCCAUUAGUUGCUACGCAAGAGCACUCUAAUGGGACCGCUACCGACAAGGUGGAGGAAGGUGGGGACGACGUCAAAUCAUCAUGCCCCUUAUGACCUGGGCUUCACACGUAAUACAAUGGCCGUUAACAACGGGAAGCAAUACCGCGAGGUGGAGCAAACCCCAAAACGGUCUCAGUUCGGAUCGCAGGCUGCAACCCGCCUGCGUGAAGUUGGAAUUGCUAGUAAUCGCGGAUCAGCAUGCCG